Non-coding RNA from Paramuricea clavata, 1309 nucleotides. Lineage: Eukaryota; Metazoa; Cnidaria; Anthozoa; Malacalcyonacea; Plexauridae. The record is from the annotation of a GenBank genome assembly.
GGCCUUUGGAGUUAUUUGGAUGUGGAAAAUUGUUGAGUUUAUAAAUAAAAUGAAACUGUUUGAGACUGAUUUUUCAUUUGAUGGAGGGCGAUCUUGCAGGACAAGGAUAUAUUAAUGCACUAAUUGUAGAUAUAACAAUAAAACUACAUGCACUUAUAAUUUGUACAUUUUGAUUGAGGACUAUUUUUACACAUUUUAUGAAGGUUAUAAACAAGUUAUAAUGAGCUUUGUUUUAUCUCUGAAAUCAAGAUAUGCGUAAAAUAAAUUUAGGUGUAAGCGUAGGAAAGAAUAGGCUACCCGAACCAUUCGUUCAUAUUAUUUUGACGGGAAAUCAACAAAAAAGAACACGAAGCUCAAUUUGAGGUGCUCCGUUGUGUUAAUUUGACAGCAAUAUAAAUAUGUACAUUAAGUUCAUUAUGUAGAAAUCUUAUAAUUGUUAAGAAUUUCAUUGUGCCUAAACAUACCCGUGUGGCUGUACAUGUCAAGAAGUGACCAGAAAUUAUUAUAAUUGUUAUGUUACAACUCCUUUGCAGAACUUGGAAACUUGUUAAACUACAGGAAACUUGUGAAAUUUUUACCUUAUGCAGUUAUAUUACUUUUAAAUCCAUGAGUUGCAAAUCAGUGGCACACAAAACAUUGGGGAGUGCGUGUUUGGUUGUUAUUACAUCCCUGCACUCUGUGCAGAAAAUCUUGGCUUCUGCAAUCUAAAAUCUCAUCAAAGAAUUUUUGUUUACAGUCAUUUCAAAUUUUCUUAAAAGGCUGCUUUUGUUAGUGUGUAACAAUUAAAUAUUCAAGGCAAUUUACAGUUUAUUGAAGUUUUGAUUUACAAUUUAUUGAAGGCUAGCUCUUAAAAGUAAUUAGAUAUUCAGGAUAGCUCUGAUAAUCAUAGAAAAUGACAAACAUCAGUGGCUUUGUUACAUCGUCGACAACAGAGUCGUAGCAGACGGUCUGGUUGUUUUCAUCAAUUGGGGGUGGCACGAGUAAUCCUUCCUUUCCUUUCGUGUAUUUACCAACCAACACCCGAGCGAUGUACAUGUACUGUAAGCCUUUCUCAUCGGGAGCAGAAUAAUUCUUUCUUGCCGAGUACCAAGCUUGGUUAGCAAAGUAUACUCCUUUGCCAAACCUCACAGCUGUGAAGAAAACAUGUAUUUUUAUUACACUUUAACUGGCUAUUAAGAGGGCGUCUCUGUAAGAGCGGACCACUGGAUCUGGGCUUCAAAAAUAGAUUACUCUUAUAUUUCUACCGUCGAUACUCUCAUCUAUCCUAACUACGAAACUGGAGUUAAGAUCGUUCUAACGUGGUUUUUAC